UGCGGGGUGGAGCAGUCUGGUAGCUCGUCGGGCUCAUAACCCGGAGGUCGUAGGUUCAAAUCCUGCCCCCGCGA
This 74-nucleotide transfer RNA is filed under the name Olsenella sp. An188. It matches the Rfam family "tRNA". Rfam says of the family: Transfer RNA (tRNA) molecules are approximately 80 nucleotides in length. Their secondary structure includes four short double-helical elements and three loops (D, anti-codon, and T loops). Further hydrogen bonds mediate the characteristic L-shaped molecular structure. tRNAs have two regions of fundamental functional importance: the anti-codon, which is responsible for specific mRNA codon recognition, and the 3' end, to which the tRNAs corresponding amino acid is attached (by aminoacyl-tRNA synthetases). tRNAs cope with the degeneracy of the genetic code in two manners: having more than one tRNA (with a specific anti-codon) for a particular amino acid; and 'wobble' base-pairing, i.e. permitting non-standard base-pairing at the 3rd anti-codon position. The record is from Rfam by way of RNAcentral. Lineage: Bacteria; Bacillati; Actinomycetota; Coriobacteriia; Coriobacteriales; Atopobiaceae.